GGAGUGGCUCCGAGCGGGCCGAGCGAAGCGCGCGGCGGGCGGCAGUGCCGCGCGCCGGCGAGUUUCGGAGAGUCGCGGGAGGCCCCAACGGCAUCCCCCUCGCCGAAUACCGCGGCACCGUCGCGCGCUUCGUGCUCCUCGCGGUCCACCCCUCCACCGAGGGGGCCGUCGGCGGCACCGCGAGCUGCUCGGAGUUCCCGAGUCGCGCGCGCCGUGCCCGGGCCCUCUCAUCAGCGCCGUCCCGUCGCCCCUGGGCGAUCGGACGGCCCGACGCUCCACGGAGCGGAUCACAACGAUGUCGCGGACGUGCGUCGAGGCCCCCGACCGACGGCUACCUCUCCGGAGGAGCCCCGGUCCCGGGCCUCCGCUACGUCCCCCGCACCACCGGAGCGACAGGGCAGCCAUCGAGCGCCGCACACCGCCGGCAGGUUCUCCGACCCGCCGCGCAGGGACUCUCGCCGAGCACCGGCGUUCCGGGCGCCGAUCCGCUCGGCGCCCAACGACCAUCUCGCCGCACUGCGGCGAGGCAACGGAAAUCGCACCACGGUGCGUGAGGAAACGGGGUCGGGUCGCCGCGCCUCGUCUAGACGAGCCGUUCGCGGCGCCCGUCCCAGCGUCCGGGAAGGACCGAUCGCUCGUGUCGCCGGGGCUCCGCUAGCGCGGAGCCUCUCAGCGGACGGCACAGCUCCGAUCGCUGCUUCGCACUGUGAACGGUGGGCGCUCCCGGCCGGUCGCCGUCUUCUCCGGGCCGCGCCCGGGCUGCACGGUCCGGCCUCGCGGAGCGCCGCUGCCCGCGCAGCUCCGACCCCGCCUCGGCGGGUGAUCGGCGCCGCGGGACCCGCACUCGCCGGUCGGCGGGCCUUCGCGCCACGCGGAGGCCCCCGCGCCGCGCGGAAGCAAGCAAUCUGGUUGAUCCUGCCAGUAGUCAUAUGCUCGUCUCAAAGACUAAGCCAUGCAUGUCUCAGUGCAAGCCGAACUAAGGUGGAACCGCGAAAGGCUCAUUAA
Molecule: long non-coding RNA, 1005 nt
Filed under: Bemisia tabaci
Lineage: Eukaryota; Metazoa; Arthropoda; Insecta; Hemiptera; Aleyrodidae
Description: lncRNA ENSSSA1NGG004858
Rfam family: Eukaryotic small subunit ribosomal RNA (bases 903-1005)
Source: RNAcentral